UAUUUCAGAAGUCCCACAAACUUCAGAACAAGAAAUUUUCAAUGUCUCUUCAAGACUUCAAAUUUUCCACUUAGAAGGUCUAAAUAAGAGAAAUAGAAUACAUAAGAGCAAUAAUCCCAUUAUCCACUUUCAUUUUGUGCUACAGCUACAAAUAGAUCCGGCCAAGAGCCUGUUCAGAACAGGAACCACCCCAAUUCAUCCUAG
Molecule: unclassified non-coding RNA, 204 nt
Filed under: Hevea brasiliensis (rubber tree)
Lineage: Eukaryota; Viridiplantae; Streptophyta; Magnoliopsida; Malpighiales; Euphorbiaceae
Source: RNAcentral